This 478-nucleotide ribosomal RNA is filed under the name uncultured organism. Its description in RNAcentral is "partial 16S ribosomal RNA". It matches the Rfam family "Bacterial small subunit ribosomal RNA", at positions 329 to 798 of the family's 1533-position model. The record is from RNAcentral.
ACGUACACUCCUGCGGGAGGCAGCAGUGGGGAAUAUCGCACAAUGGGCGCAAGCCUGAUGCAGCCAUGCCGCGUGUAUGAAGAAGGCCUUCGGGUUGUAAAGUACUUUCAGCGGGGAGGAAGGCGAUAAGGUUAAUAACCUUGUCGAUUGACGUUACCCGCAGAAGAAGCACCGGCUAACUCCGUGCCAGCAGCCGCGGUAAUACGGAGGGUGCAAGCGUUAAUCGGAAUUACUGGGCGUAAAGCGCACGCAGGCGGUCUGGCAAGUCGGAUGUGAAAUCCCCGGGCUCAACCUGGGAACUGCAUUCGAAACUGGCAGGCUAGAGUCUUGUAGAGGGGGGUAGAAUUCCAGGUGUAGCGGUGAAAUGCGUAGAGAUCUGGAGGAAUACCGGUGGCGAAGGCGGCCCCCUGGACAAAGACUGACGCUCAGGUGCGAAAGCGUGGGGAGCAAACAGGAUUAGAUACCCGGGUAGUCCCAU